RNAcentral lists this ribosomal RNA (467 nucleotides) under Capnocytophaga granulosa. RNAcentral's name for it is "bacterial SSU rRNA". It matches the Rfam family "Bacterial small subunit ribosomal RNA", at positions 28 to 498 of the family's 1533-position model. Lineage: Bacteria; Pseudomonadati; Bacteroidota; Flavobacteriia; Flavobacteriales; Flavobacteriaceae. The record is from RNAcentral.
GAUGAACGCUAGCGGCAGGCCUAACACAUGCAAGUCGAGGGAGAAGCCCUUCGGGGCAGAAACCGGCGCACGGGUGCGUAACGCGUAUGCAACCUACCUUUCACAGGGGGAUAGCCCGAAGAAAUUUGGAUUAAUACCCCAUAAUAUUAUUGGGUGGCAUCAUUUGAUAAUUAAAAUUACGAUGGUGAAAGAUGGGCAUGCGUCCUAUUAGCUAGUUGGAGUGGUAACGGCACCCCAAGGCUACGAUAGGUAGGGGUCCUGAGAGGGAGAUCCCCCACACUGGUACUGAGACAGGGACCAGACUCCUACGGGAGGCAGCAGUGAGGAAUAUUGGUCAAUGGUCGGAAGACUGAACCAGCCAUGCCGCGUGCAGGAAGAAUGCCUUAUGGGUUGUAAACUGCUUUUAUAUGGGAAGAAUAAGGAGUACGUGUACUUUGAUGACGGUACCAUAUGAAUAAGCAUCGGCA